UAGGAGCCUUCGCCACAUGCGUGGUUUC
RNAcentral lists this non-coding RNA (28 nucleotides) under Rattus norvegicus (Norway rat). The record is from RNAcentral. Lineage: Eukaryota; Metazoa; Chordata; Mammalia; Rodentia; Muridae.